GGUUCCAUAGAUCAAUGGUAGAGCAUUUGAUUGCAGAUCAAGAAGUCACUAGUUCAAACCUAAUUGGGUUCU
Non-coding RNA from Tetracentron sinense, 72 nucleotides. Lineage: Eukaryota; Viridiplantae; Streptophyta; Magnoliopsida; Trochodendrales; Trochodendraceae. The record is from the annotation of a GenBank genome assembly.